This 443-nucleotide long non-coding RNA is filed under the name Gallus gallus (chicken). RNAcentral's name for it is "long non-coding RNA NONGGAT008502". Lineage: Eukaryota; Metazoa; Chordata; Aves; Galliformes; Phasianidae. The record is from RNAcentral.
CCUCAGUGCGGGCACAGCGGCGAGAGGUCCUAAGGAGAUAUAAACGAAGGACCCUGGAAUCAGCAUAUGUGGCACGCGCUCCAUUCUCUUCUUACUUUGCAAAGCUGUAUGAUGGACCAUGGAUUGCUGCUUGGUUGUUGGCAGGAGGAGCUGGUAUGUCCUCAGCCACGAUGGCUGGAAUUCAUCUUCCCUAACUCUUACCAUAUAAAAGUUAGAUGAAGUUAAUGUACAGCCUUAAGUGCUGUAGCUGGCUCUUUCUUCACUUGAGGAAAAUUCUAUCUCAAUAAUUUUGCUGGAAUAGUGUUGUGUAUGGGAACUGUUGAACCAUGGCCUGAACCCCUGAUUGAUCACCUGAGGCAAGCACUGAGUCAGCUGUGGGAGCACAGGUGAAGGCAAUUCACCUGUGUGACCGGAAGGGGUGGAGCCUGGCUGCACCUCUCCUA